Molecule: transfer RNA, 73 nt
Filed under: Planifilum fulgidum
Lineage: Bacteria; Bacillati; Bacillota; Bacilli; Caryophanales; Thermoactinomycetaceae
Also listed under: 1 other name
Rfam family: tRNA
About the family: Transfer RNA (tRNA) molecules are approximately 80 nucleotides in length.
Source: Rfam by way of RNAcentral
GCUCCCAUAGCUCAGCAGGUAGAGCGCUUCCAUGGUAAGGAAGAGGUCACCAGUUCGAGUCUGGUUGGGAGCU